This 68-nucleotide transfer RNA is filed under the name Micrura bella. Its description in RNAcentral is "tRNA-His". The record is from RNAcentral. Lineage: Eukaryota; Metazoa; Nemertea; Pilidiophora; Heteronemertea; Lineidae.
AUACAAGUAGUUUUAUUUAAGAAUAGUAGUUUGUGGGGCUAAAGGUGCUUAUAAUUAAGUUUUGUAUA